GGGUUAGUCGGUUCCUAAGGCGAGGCUGAAAAGCGUAGUCGAUGGGAAACAGGUUAAUAUUCCUGUACUUCUGGUUACUGCGAUGGAGGGACGGAGAAGGCUAGGCCAGCUUGGCGUUGGUUGUCCAAGUUUAAGGUGGUAGGCUGAAAUCUUAGGUAAAUCCGGGGUUUCAAGGCCGAGAGCUGAUGACGAGUCGUCUUUUAGAUGACGAAGUGGUUGAUGCCAUGCUUCCAAGAAAAGCUUCUAAGCUUCAGGUAACCAGGAACCGUACCCCAAACCGACACAGGUGGUCGGGUAGAGAAUACCAAGGCGCUUGAGAGAACUCGGGUGAAGGAACUAGGCAAAAUGGCACCGUAACUUCGGGAGAAGGUGCGCCGGCUAGGGUGAAGGAUUUACUCCGUAAGCUCUGGCUGGUCGAAGAUACCAGGCCGCUGCGACUGUUUAUUAAAAACACAGCACUCUGCAAACACGAAAGUGGACGUAUAGGGUGUGACGCCUGCCCGGUGCCGGAAGGUUAAUUGAUGGGGUUAGCGCAAGCGAAGCUCUUGAUCGAAGCCCCGGUAAACGGCGGCCGUAACUAUAACGGUCCUAAGGUAGCGAAAUUCCUUGUCGGGUAAGUUCCGACCUGCACGAAUGGCGUAACGAUGGCGGCGCUGUCUCCACCCGAGACUCAGUGAAAUUGAAAUCGCUGUGAAGAUGCAGUGUAUCCGCGGCUAGACGGAAAGACCCCGUGAACCUUUACUGUAGCUUUGCACUGGACUUUGAGCCUGCUUGUGUAGGAUAGGUGGGAGGCUUUGAAGCGUGGACGCCAGUUCGCGUGGAGCCAUCCUUGAAAUACCACCCUGGCAUGCUUGAGGUUCUAACUCUGGUCCGUGAUCCGGAUCGAGGACAGUGUAUGGUGGGCAGUUUGACUGGGGCGGUCUCCUCCUAAAGAGUAACGGAGGAGUACGAAGGUGCGCUCAGACCGGUCGGAAAUCGGUCGCAGAGUAUAAAGGCAAAAGCGCGCUUGACUGCGAGACAGACACGUCGAGCAGGUACGAAAGUAGGUCUUAGUGAUCCGGUGGUUCUGUAUGGAAGGGCCAUCGCUCAACGGAUAAAAGGUACUCCGGGGAUAACAGGCUGAUACCGCCCAAGAGUUCAUAUCGACGGCGGUGUUUGGCACCUCGAUGUCGGCUCAUCACAUCCUGGGGCUGAAGCCGGUCCCAAGGGUAUGGCUGUUCGCCAUUUAAAGUGGUACGCGAGCUGGGUUUAGAACGUCGUGAGACAGUUCGGUCCCUAUCUGCCGUGGACGUUUGAGAUUUGAGAGGGGCUGCUCCUAGUACGAGAGGACCGGAGUGGACGAACCUCUGGUGUUCCGGUUGUCACGCCAGUGGCAUUGCCGGGUAGCUAUGUUCGGAAAAGAUAACCGCUGAAAGCAUCUAAGCGGGAAACUUGCCUCAAGAUGAGAUCUCACUGGGAACUUGAUUCCCCUGAAGGGCCGUCGAAGACUACGACGUUGAUAGGCUGGGUGUGUAAGCGUUGU
RNAcentral lists this ribosomal RNA (1522 nucleotides) under Pseudomonas aeruginosa. RNAcentral describes it as "bacterial LSU rRNA". It matches the Rfam family "Bacterial large subunit ribosomal RNA", at positions 1377 to 2879 of the family's 2925-position model. Lineage: Bacteria; Pseudomonadati; Pseudomonadota; Gammaproteobacteria; Pseudomonadales; Pseudomonadaceae. The record is from RNAcentral.